This 460-nucleotide ribosomal RNA is filed under the name uncultured bacterium. RNAcentral describes it as "partial 16S ribosomal RNA". It matches the Rfam family "Bacterial small subunit ribosomal RNA", at positions 338 to 795 of the family's 1533-position model. The record is from RNAcentral.
CCUACGGGAGGCAGCAGUGAGGAAUAUUGGUCAAUGGCCGGAAGGCUGAACCAGCCAUGCCGCGUGAAGGUCAGUGCCCUAUGGGCGUUAAACUUCUUUUGUGCGGGAGCAAUAAUGGUCACGUGUGGCCAGACGAGAGUACCGUACGAAUAAGCAUCGGCUAACUCCGUGCCAGCAGCCGCGGUAAUACGGGGGAUGCAAGCGUUAUCCGGAUUUAUUGGGUUUAAGGGGUGCGUAGGCUGUGAGGUAAGUCAGCGGGGAAAUGCCCCCGCUCAACGGGGUGAAGUGCCAUUGAUACUGCCUUGCUGGAAUGCGGAUGCCGUGGGAGGAAUGUGUGGUGUAGCGGUGAAAUGCAUAGAUAUCACACAGAACACCGAUUGCGAAGGCAUCUCACGAAUCCGCGAUUGACGCUGAUGCACGAAAGCGUGGGUAUCAAACAGGAUUAGAUACCCCAGUAGUC